Molecule: ribosomal RNA, 254 nt
Filed under: uncultured bacterium
Lineage: Bacteria
Description: partial 16S ribosomal RNA
Rfam family: Bacterial small subunit ribosomal RNA
Source: RNAcentral
UACGAAGGGGGCUAGCGUUGUUCGGAAUUACUGGGCGUAAAGCGCGCGCAGGCGGUCUUCCAAGUCAGUGGUGAAAGCCCGGAGCUCAACUCCGGAACUGCCAUUGAAACUGUUAGACUUGAGGAUGAGAGAGGUGAGUGGAAUUCCCAGUGUAGAGGUGAAAUUCGUAGAUAUUGGGAAGAACACCGGUGGCGAAGGCGGCUCACUGGACCACAACUGACGCUGAGGCGCGAAAGCUAGGGGAGCAAACAGGG